GGACGAGCUAACUGAAAGAAUACAUAAUCUAAAGUUAGGAAUCUUAUAAUUUUUAUUAUAAGUUUAAAGACGAAUCUAACUAACAGUGUCGUCCAAAUUCUGGUGCCAGAAGACUCGGUAAUACCAGAGACGCGAACGUUAAUCAUCUUGAAUGGGCAUAAAGGGUUUGUAGGCGGCUUAUUUAUUAAUAGGCUAGAAUCUUAGAGAGGUUAAUAAAAUACUUAGAGGAGGGCUGAUAUCCUUAGAUCCUAAGUGGAAUCCUAAUUGCGAAGGCCAUUUUCCACUACAGAUUGACGCUGAGACACGAAGGUUAGGAUAGGAACUAGGAUUAGAGACCCUAUUACCCCUAACUGUAAACGAUGAAUGGCAGAUAUUUACAACUGUAAGUGUCGAAGUGAAUACGAUAACCAUUCCGCCUUGCCAGUAUACUUGCAAAAGUGAAAACAAAAAAAUUAGUCGGUCCUAAAGCAAACGAAGUGAAGCAUGUUAUUUAAUUCGGUAAUCCGC
Molecule: ribosomal RNA, 507 nt
Filed under: Muscinupta laevis
Lineage: Eukaryota; Fungi; Basidiomycota; Agaricomycetes; Hymenochaetales
Description: SSU rRNA
Rfam family: Bacterial small subunit ribosomal RNA
Source: RNAcentral